UGUAUUUGUUUGGUUGUUUUUACUGAACAUUAUUGAUGUUUGCGCGUUACUGUUCACUUGCUUGUAUACUCUGUCAUUGGAGCGGAAAGUAUUUGCUUGUUUGCGGUAAAGUGGAUACGCUUGGUUCGCACUCUAGCAGUUAAACAUUACUUGCUCGCACACGGAGGCUUAAGCUUCGUUCACGGUAGAACGGAAGUAAU
RNAcentral lists this long non-coding RNA (200 nucleotides) under Lathyrus oleraceus (garden pea). RNAcentral's name for it is "Pisum sativum (pea) long non-coding RNA (PSAT_LNC015345)". Lineage: Eukaryota; Viridiplantae; Streptophyta; Magnoliopsida; Fabales; Fabaceae. The record is from RNAcentral.